GUGGGGAAUUUUGGACAAUGGGGGCAACCCUGAUCCAGCAAUGCCGCGUGCAGGAAGAAGGCCUUCGGGUUGUAAACUGCUUUUGUACGGAACGAAACGGUCCUGGUUAAUACCUGGGGCUAAUGACGGUACCGUAAGAAUAAGCACCGGCUAACUACGUGCCAGCAGCCGCGGUAAUACGUAGGGUGCAAGCGUUAAUCGGAAUUACUGGUCGUAAAGCGUGCGCAGGCGGUUUUGUAAGACAGGCGUGAAAUCCCCGGGCUCAACCUGGGAAUGGCGCUUGUGACUGCAAGGCUGGAGUGCGGCAGAGGGGGAUGGAAUUCCGCGUGUAGCAGUGAAAUGCGUAGAUAUGCGGAGGAACACCGAUGGCGAAGGCAAUCCCCUGGGCCUGCACUGACGCUCAUGCACGAAAGCGUGGGGAGCAAACAGGAUUAGAAACCCCAGUAGUCC
This 450-nucleotide ribosomal RNA is filed under the name uncultured bacterium. RNAcentral's name for it is "partial 16S ribosomal RNA". It matches the Rfam family "Bacterial small subunit ribosomal RNA", at positions 354 to 796 of the family's 1533-position model. The record is from RNAcentral.